GACAGAGGAGCCAAGCGUUGUCCGGAAUUACUGGGCGUAAAGCGUGCGUAGGUGGUUUGUUAAGUCUGUUGUGAAAGCCCCGGGCUCAACCUGGGAAUGGCAAUGGAUACUGGCAGGCUAGAGUGCGGUAGAGGGUAGUGGAAUUCCCGGUGUAGCGGUGAAAUGCGUAGAGAUCGGGAGGAACACCAGUGGCGAAGGCGGCUACCUGGACCAGCACUGACACUGAGGCACGAAAGCGUGGGGAGCAAACAGG
RNAcentral lists this ribosomal RNA (253 nucleotides) under uncultured bacterium. RNAcentral's name for it is "partial 16S ribosomal RNA". It matches the Rfam family "Bacterial small subunit ribosomal RNA", at positions 524 to 776 of the family's 1533-position model. The record is from RNAcentral.